AGCGCGUCCUCUCCUGCAGUGCCGUGUUCCGGGCUUCAGUCUCCUUUUACAGCCCUGCUGGCACCCAGAGUGCAGAGUCUGGAAACCUGGGAAUGUACCCUGGACAACCCAGGAGCCGUUCCUUGGAGCAGAACUGAAUCCACAGGGAGUGAAGCGGAGAGCAGCACUUGUGCCCAAGUCCCUGCUCUUCAAGCCGUGGCUGUUUCUCUGCCUGUGGCCUCCUGGAAAUCAUGGUUGGAGCCAGAAUGAAUGAAAUCCCUGACGUGAGCUGGUGGCACCUUCCCCCAGGAUCCUCCUCUGCCCUGAGAAUCCCAAGGGAGCACCUGGGAGAGAGCACGGAUUCUUUGCAGGAGCUUCUGGAUGGAGCAGCCGUGUCCCCAGCCUGUCGUAUUCUGACCUCUAGAGCAAGAUCGGCGACGUGUGGAUGGGUGAGGGAAGCUGCUGGUGCCCCGGCCAGGUUCAACCUCCCACCUCCCUCACCUUUGCCUCCACCGAGGUGGGUUCACGUGGAGCGGGGAGGACAGAGGGCAUUUGGAGGCAGAUGCUUUUAUUCUCUCCGUUAAGAGAAAGAAAACGGAGCCAUUGCAUCCUGAAAUGUGGGGUUGAGCCCGGGAUGUUCACGGCUGAUUUAAAUGAUAUUUUCUCUUGGCGGCCAGAGGUGUUGGGAUCCCAUCCCCCGGCGCUGCUCAGCCGCCUCCGCGCUGCACCAGACCUGCAACCAGGAGGAACGACAUUGGAAAUCGAAAAGAAGGGUGUGGGGGCUUCGUAAUCGGCUGUGGCUGAGGGAGAGGAAAAGCAGGAUUCCUCAUGAAUUCCUCACUUCACUCUCCUAACGGGGGCAUAGGCUUCUCCCAAGCUUCAAUCCGCUCCGUCUGCUGCACUGGGACGAGCAGCAAAACAGCUUUGGAGAAGGAAUUGUCUCGCUAAAUCCAUCAGCAUCAAAGGCCUUCAGCUUCAUUUCAAUUAAGGAAGAGGGGGGAGAAAUGGCUUUCCUACCCCCCACCCAAGACUCUGGAAAACUUGAGAUAACUGCGCUGGGCUGAGGGAAAAUAUUUGGCUCUUGCUCCAUCCCGUUUCUCCAGCAGCUCUUCCCGCUCGCUCUCCCGAGGCUUUACCCCAGUUCAGCUCCCUCGCAGCGGCCCCAGCUCACGGCCUGCCCUUAUGCAGCCCCCCCGGAAGGGUCGUUUCACACCUGCGCCGACGCAUCCGACCUCCACCUCAAGUCCCGCUUCGCGCAAGCUGCGAAUGGUGCUGCAGCUUCACCCUGGGCUGGUUUUCCUCCCCAGCCUGGGUUUGGCAUUCCCAGAGGACGGCCAGGGCUCUCUGGGGCUGCCCUCCUGCCACCAACCAGGGCUGGCAGCGAAUGGAACCUCCUGCUGAUGGCAUCGCUUUGGCUGAACAGACCUAAGCGCCCGGUGAGCGUGAGCUGAGCUUGGAGCUAAGCUUGGCUUUGCACUCAGGCUGCGUUCCUGCUCCCGGCUGCUCCGGCAUGUGCAGCAGCCAGGGAGCACGAGGCCUCGCUUCUCCCCACAAGGCAGCUGCCACAAAAUAUUAAGCAGGAUGGGUUGUUUCUCCUUCCUCCCUCAGCAGCCGGUAAAGCACAGCCUGGUGGGUCACCCUGCUGCUUUCUUGCUGACAAACAGCCCUUCCUUCUCGCUUU
Cuculus canorus (common cuckoo) is the source of this 1660-nucleotide RNA transcript. RefSeq lists it as uncharacterized. Lineage: Eukaryota; Metazoa; Chordata; Aves; Cuculiformes; Cuculidae. The transcript is spliced from 2 exons. The record is from RefSeq and is a predicted model, not a curated record.